This 253-nucleotide ribosomal RNA is filed under the name uncultured bacterium. RNAcentral describes it as "partial 16S ribosomal RNA". It matches the Rfam family "Bacterial small subunit ribosomal RNA", at positions 524 to 776 of the family's 1533-position model. The record is from RNAcentral.
GACGAACCGAGCGAACGUUGUUCGGAAUCACUGGGCUUAAAGGGCGCGUAGGCGGGCGGCUAAGUCUGUGGUGAAAUCCUCCAGCUCAACUGGAGAACUGCCAUGGAUACUGGUUGUCUCGAGGAAGGUAGGGGUACGUGGAACUAUCGGUGGAGCGGUGAAAUGCGUUGAUAUCGAUAGGAACUCCGGUGGCGAAGGCGACGUACUGGACCUUUUCUGACGCUGAGGCGCGAAAGCCAGGGGAGCAAACGGG